AUACAGAGGGUGCGAGCGUUAUCCGGAUUUAUUGGGCGUAAAGCGUGUGUAGGCGGUUUAUUAAGUCUAAGAUUAAAGCCCGAGGCUUAACCUCGGUUCGUUUUAGAUACUGGUAGACUUGAGUAUGGUAGAGGCAAAUGGAAUUUCUAGUGUAGCGGUGAAAUGCGUAGAUAUUAGAAGGAACAUCAGUGGCGAAGGCGAUUUGCUGGGCCAUUACUGACGCUGAGACACGAAAGCGUGGGGAGCAAAUAGGAUUAGAUACCCUAGUAGUCCACGCUGUAAACGAUGAGCACUAAGUGUCGGGAAACCGGUGCUGAAGUUAACACAUUAAGUGCUCCGCCUGAGUAGUACGGUCGCAAGACUGA
Molecule: ribosomal RNA, 365 nt
Filed under: uncultured bacterium
Lineage: Bacteria
Description: bacterial SSU rRNA
Rfam family: Bacterial small subunit ribosomal RNA
Source: RNAcentral